AGCUGAGGUGUAGGUCGCGGAUGCUACUUGCAUCCCCUGUUGCUGUGGCUGUGGUGUAGUCUGGCAGCUACAGCUCCGAUUAGACCCCUCGCCUAGGAACCUCCAUAUGCAGCAAGUGUGGCCCUAAAAAGACCAAAAAAAAGGAACCAUGCCGCACGAUGUGAACUGUGGCACAUGGGCCACAGCUAAUUGGACCAGGGGUGAGCACCUGAUCCAAGAGCUGCCUCCCUAUUGGUUGGGCCAACUAUCCUAUGAGAUAGCUUAGCUCAAGAGCUUGUGCUGUAUGAACCAAUCAAAUUCCUCUGCUUAGGGAGUUUGGCUGGAAUGGAGUGGGAGCUGGGAGUCUGUCAGAGAAGCAGAAUGACACAGAAAGAAAACCAAGGACAGAGAGAGAAAUUGGUCCUUCAGUGGUGGCAGAGCGGAGUCGGACCCAUGAGCACCUACUGGGGUGACUACUUGAUCAAUAUCCGCCCCAGGGUUUGGGAGCCUCUGUCUACAGCCCCUCACCUGGUGAGCACAGCUCAGCCGCCAACACCACAGCCAACACCAUAGCCAGCACCACAGUCUCAGCCGUGUCGACACCUUUCAACAGCAAGCAUUCAGACGAUGUCUCUCAACUCAACCUCAAUCACAACUAGCAGAUCUUCACUUCAGAGUUCAACAGAGCCCAAGGGCAGCAUGCCCACAUCAUUUAGCGCCUCAGGGGUGACGUCAGCCCAGCAAAACACAAGUCCAGCAGCCAGUACCAAAACUGAAAAACCAACCUCAGGCAGCUCUCCUACAGUUGGCUCAGAGGAUUUGAAAUCCACAGCACUCACCGUCUCGACAAAGCCUGAAAUCACAAGCGGUCAGAGUGAAAUUACUAAAGUUACAGCCAGCGUGGUCUCUACGGAAGGACAUCAGACAACCACUUCACCUAUAAAUCUGAAUAAUACCUCAAAGACCAGUCCUGCUUCUACUCCUGUUCCCGCCCUAGCAAGCAUUUCCCAGCCUGGCACGGUCCCUGGGACUCCUCCUGUUCCUGUGACUUUGGUCCCCAUGACUCCAGAGCCCCCAGGGAGCUCCUCCCAGGGAUCAAACAGAAAUAUUGCAACCACAAGUGUCAGCACACCAGCCACCUUCACAACUCAGGAGAUGCUGAUUACAAUAACGCCACCGGUUACCUCAGGAGGAACCCAGCGUAUCCCCAGCGAGCCGCCGGUGCUCCCUGACACCCUACGGCUCCUCAGCCCACAGGCUCUGCCUCAGGACCCAGGACCGCACCUCCCGCCCGGGGCCCCACGCGUUCCAGCCCUCGGCUGGUGUCGGCAGCCUCUCCCACCGCCAGCCUCCCUCCUCCCGCCUCAGCAAGCGGGGUAGAGAUACAGUGCGGUGCUCCUGAAAGGCUGAGUGAGGAGACGUUCGUCCUGAACUUCUCCAAAGCCGACCUCUGU
This 1433-nucleotide long non-coding RNA is filed under the name Sus scrofa (pig). RNAcentral's name for it is "lncRNA (ENSSSCG00070026722.1)". The record is from RNAcentral. Lineage: Eukaryota; Metazoa; Chordata; Mammalia; Artiodactyla; Suidae.